CCUACGGGAGGCAGCAGUGGGGAAUUUUGGACAAUGGGCGCAAGCCUGAUCCAGCCAUGCCGCGUGAGUGAAGAAGGCCUUCGGGUUGUAAAGCUCUUUCGGCGGGGAAGAAAUUGCACGGGUUAAUACCCUGUGUAGAUGACGGUACCCGAAUAAGAAGCACCGGCUAACUACGUGCCAGCAGCCGCGGUAAUACGUAGGGUGCGAGCGUUAAUCGGAAUUACUGGGCGUAAAGCGUGCGCAGGCGGUUUGGUAAGUCAGAUGUGAAAUCCCCGGGCUCAACCUGGGAACUGCAUUUGAGACUGCCAGGCUGGAGUUUGGCAGAGGGGGGUGGAAUUCCACGUGUAGCAGUGAAAUGCGUAGAGAUGUGGAGGAACACCGAUGGCGAAGGCAGCCCCCUGGGCCAAUACUGACGCUCAUGCACGAAAGCGUGGGGAGCAAACAGGAUUAGAUACCCUGGUAGUCCACGCCCUAAACGAUGUCAACUAGGUGUUGGGAGGGUUAAACCUUUUAGUGCCGUAGCUAACGCGUGAAGUGACCGCCCUGG
This 547-nucleotide ribosomal RNA is filed under the name bacterium enrichment culture SBR_W_B01. RNAcentral's name for it is "bacterial SSU rRNA". It matches the Rfam family "Bacterial small subunit ribosomal RNA", at positions 338 to 877 of the family's 1533-position model. The record is from RNAcentral. RNAcentral also lists the same sequence under 3 other names.